UAAUAAAAAUCGGUAUGUUGCUUUUUUUGUGACGUUCCGGAAUUUGAGUUAUCUUAAUUUUUUAGUUUAAGAGGCUUAAAAUUGACCUUUUUUGCGCAUUUUUAGACGUACAUAAAUUUUUUUUUAUUCGUUUAUUCUAAUGCCAAAAUCUAUUAGAUGCGACCAUAUCAUGUGGUUCCGCGUCUAUAAAUUUUUCAUG
RNAcentral lists this unclassified non-coding RNA (199 nucleotides) under Rhizophagus irregularis DAOM 181602=DAOM 197198. Lineage: Eukaryota; Fungi; Glomeromycota; Glomeromycetes; Glomerales; Glomeraceae. The record is from RNAcentral.